This 482-nucleotide ribosomal RNA is filed under the name uncultured bacterium. Its description in RNAcentral is "partial 16S ribosomal RNA". It matches the Rfam family "Bacterial small subunit ribosomal RNA", at positions 355 to 847 of the family's 1533-position model. The record is from RNAcentral.
UGGGGAAUAUUGCACAAUGGGCGAAAGCCUGAUGCAGCGACGCCGCGUGAGGGAUGACGGCCUUCGGGUUGUAAACCUCUUUCAGCAGGGAAGAAGCGAAAGUGACGGUACCUGCAGAAGAAGCGCCGGCUAACUACGUGCCAGCAGCCGCGGUAAUACGUAGGGUGCGAGCGUUGUCCGGAAUUAUUGGGCGUAAAGAGCUCGUAGGCGGUCUGUCGCGUCUGCUGUGAAAACCCGAGGCUCAACCUCGGGCCUGCAGUGGGUACGGGCAGACUAGAGUGCGGUAGGGGAGAAUGGAAUUCCUGGUGUAGCGGUGGAAUGCGCAGAUAUCAGGAGGAACACCGAUGGCGAAGGCAGUUCUCUGGGCCGUAACUGACGCUGAGGAGCGAAAGCGUGGGGAGCGAACAGGAUUAGAUACCCUGGUAGUCCACGCCGUAAACGUUGGGCGCUAGAUGUGGGGACCAUUCCACGGUUUCCGUGUC